This is a long non-coding RNA of Mauremys reevesii (Reeves's turtle), 259 nucleotides long. RefSeq lists it as uncharacterized. NCBI's taxonomy places the organism in Eukaryota, Metazoa, Chordata, Testudines, Geoemydidae. The record is from RefSeq and is a predicted model, not a curated record. The transcript has 3 exons.
UCUGGCAAUCGGCUGUGGAGGGACUUCACCACCUCUUCUCCUUCAUGCAGCUGCUAAAAUCCAAAAUGCUGGUGAAGCACGGUGCAGAGUAUCGGCAGAUCCUCAAGGACAGUCAAACUGAGAGAGCCUUCUGGGUCACCAACAUCAGCAAUAUCACAUCGCUGUUUGGGAAGUACUUCAACCCGUCCGAGAGCAUGGACUUCCUCCUCGUUGCUAUCGACGGCGUGAGAGACUCCAGCGUCCAUGACGCAGUGACCAG